Long non-coding RNA from Bubalus bubalis (water buffalo), 3011 nucleotides. RefSeq lists it as uncharacterized. Lineage: Eukaryota; Metazoa; Chordata; Mammalia; Artiodactyla; Bovidae. The record is from RefSeq and is a predicted model, not a curated record. The transcript has 3 exons.
CAAGACUGCGAGCCACAUGGCAGAGCUGUUCUCCUGGAUUCCUUACCCUGCUGCUCUCCACCCAGGUGCCCUUUCCUAAUAAAAUCUCUAACUUUGUCAGUACAUGUGUCUCCUUGGACAAUUCAUUUCUGAGUGUUAGACAAGAGCCCUGUUUCGGGCCCUGGAAGGGGUUCCCCCUUCCUGCAACAGAAUGGCAAAGGAAGAGAUGAAUUUUUUAAUGCAUAGCAAGCAUCUUAAUAUUCUCUCUCUCCAUGGCUGCCCCCUUAUUAUUCUGUGCAUGGAUGCCAGCUUUUCCCACCAGUUCUGUCUCUUCCACCCUGAAACAUACCCUGUACACAGACUUUCUGUCCAGUAGUCCCUGUUCCCUCUCCUGCUCUUUAUUAUACAAAUCCAUCAGCCCUGCUUUGUUUUUCCCUUUGCUUUACUAAAUAUCCAAACUCCCUGCAUACUAUGCAGUCUCUGAUACUAGAUGAUUUUUUUCUCUAAAAUUGCAGGACCACAGUGGUCUUUUCAUCUGACUUCAUCCACUGUAUGAAUUCCAUCCAACUGGUGGUCUCAGACCAGGUAAGAGGAUGACCCUGAAAGUCACUGUAUCUAUUCUUAUGGUCAGGGCCCAUAACCCAGGAAACCUUUGUGGUCAGGCCAGGACUCAUAUCUGACACUUCUCUGUCUGCAGCUCUUUUUGUCUCAGAGAGAUGUCCAGACAUGAAUACAUAAGCCAUGAGCAUAGUGUGCAUAUGAUGAAAAAACAGUAUUAAAGUCCAGCCAAGUGAUCAUUCCACAUCACCCCCCGCACACUCUGCCUUGCAUCCAGCCCUUCAGACCUGCUGUUCCAUCCACUUAAAAACUCGUACGUCCUUGCCUACCUUCCCUGUUCUAUCUGUUCUUGACCUGCUUGACUACUCCUCCUUCCUCAGGGCUCAGCUUACACCUCAUCCUCCAGGAUGGUCCUGGCCACUUGGAAAUAUGUAUCUCUGCCUCGGGCUCCCUGGGACUUGUAAGUUUAUGCUUCUUCCCCGUUUUAGCCUGUAUCCCACAAGAGCCCAGGCAUCCUAGCUAUUUUUGCAGCCUGUUCCUUUGGGGCCUAACAUAUAGUAGAGCCUCAAAAAAUAUUUUGAAGGAAUAUUAAAAAGGAGAUUCCUAAAAAUUCCUGAUUGAGUACAUUAAAAGGGAGAAGGGAAAGCAGAGCUCAGCCUUCUACACUUGGAUGUGUGCAUUGCCUCUGCAGCUUCAUUCCUUCGAAGAUGAACGCUCCUAUCUUCUGGAUGCUGAGUUGCUGCGGGGCAAAAUUUCACUCAAAGCUCCCUGUUAGUGCCUGUGGCUGUGAUCAGGUACAAUCAAGUGUGCUUAUUGUAAACAGGAUCCCAGUGGACAGAGGUUUGCAAAGGCAUACAUUCAAAAGGUGAAAUUCAUCAUCCAGCUUCCAAGCUUAGAACCCAGGUCUGCUGGGGGAAGUGAUGAGAUGUCAAGUGAGAACAGGAGGUCCUUCUGACAUGCUGUUUGAACUCCAGGCAGGACACGGUUCCAUUUACUCUGCCAGUGGAACACCACAUUGCUUCCUCUUGCUCUCUUCCAACAGAGACGAUCUAGGAAAGGGCAAGGACCAAGUAAGUAAUCAAGCCUUUGGAUCUGAUCCACAUGACAUCCUACCUCUGAGCCCCAGAGAGAUUCAAAGUUGGCAGUUCUGGGGCCAGUCCAUAUUUACACCAUUUCCUGAUGGCCCCUUCUGACUGGUCUUUGGCAAGUACAAAAGAAAGUUUACUUGGGGACAGCCCCGGUGGUCCAGGAGUUAAGACUCGGCACUUCCUCUGCAGGGAGCACAGGUUCAAUACCUGGUCAGGGGACUGAGAUCCCACACGCCUCACAGUGCAGCCAAAAAAAAAAGUUGACUUUCCUCUUUUAAAAACUAUUUAUGUUUCCGACACUAUGUCUAAUACCUUUAACGUCUUUUAAUAAUUAUUGUUGUCUAGUUGCUAAGUUGUGUUCAACUCUUUGUGACCCUAUGGAUGGUAGCCUACCAGGCUCCUCUAUCCAUGGCUCUUUCCAGGCAAGAAUACUGAAGUGGGUCGACAUUCACUUCUCCAGGGAAUCUUCCCGAUACAGGGAUCGAACCCGUGUCUCCUGCAUUGGCAGGCAGAUUCUUUACCACUGAGCCACCCAGGAAGCACCUCCUUUUAAUGAUUACACUUAUACAACUGAAGUAGUCUUUAGUUGUGGACCUGGUAGAAUGUCAGAGCUUUGGAUAAGUGUCUUCCUGGGCCGUGGGGGUCAGACCACAGCACUGAGGGUGAGGCUGGGGUGGUGCUUCCCCUGAAUGGAACGAAGGGCUUCAUUGCCAGCUGACUGUGAGGGAAAGAGAGAACCUUCUUCACAGUGAGGCUGGAGGGGGCUAGGGCCAAGAUUCUGAGGCAUGGAGAAAUUCCAGGGAUGGCUGUGCUGUCUGGCUGUGUCAGGGCAGUGAUCACGCAUGGCCCAUGAGGACACCAGUCUCAAGGAAGUAGAACGUGAAUGGUGCCCCGUAGAACUGUGCAACAAGAUGGCCCCAUGCCAAACAAGACAAAAACUGGCUCAGUGGGAGACCUGGGACAGACUUGGGUUUAUGCCUAAGUUGAGGGACCUGGCCAUAGUCAUGCUUGGGCUGACGUGGUAGAGAAGAAACCAUCUUUCUCCCAUUGCUGUAGUCAGACUGGGUGAAGACAGAGAGCAGGCAGUAAGACUAACAGCAGGAGUGGCCCCUGGGAUACAUGGUCAACAUGAAGCCAGCUCUUAUUUGUAGAAGAGGUGGCAGGUGUCCUGGGAAGUGGGUGAGUGAGGCAGAAAUUAUGUCUUUUGGUUUCAUAAGGUAGAUAUUACCUGUGAGCAACCAGACAUCUGACUGUGAUUAAUUAAUACGCUUCUUGGACAUCUCAGCAGUGGCCACAGGACUGGAAAAGGUCAGUUUUCAUUCCAAUCCCAAAGAAAGGCAAUGCCAAAGAAUGCUCAAACUACUGCACAAUUGCACUCAUCUCACA